This 960-nucleotide long non-coding RNA is filed under the name Mus musculus (house mouse). RNAcentral's name for it is "long non-coding RNA chr4:63334028-63334988". The record is from RNAcentral. Lineage: Eukaryota; Metazoa; Chordata; Mammalia; Rodentia; Muridae.
AAACUUUCUGAAUGGGGCCUGGCCCACUUCUCUUUCUCUCCUCCAAAUGAGGAGUUAAAAAUGUUACUAGCAUAGCCCACCCGUGUAAUCCGUUGAAAAGGAACAAAAGGAAAAAAGAAAAGAAAGAAAAGAAAAAAAAAGAAAAAGAAAAAACAAAACAAAACAAAAAAAUCCUCCUAGAAACCAGAAGUAGAGAGAUUUCUGCUAAUUCUGGGCUUUGAAGCGUACGUCUUUUGAGGGGGCAUUUUGAUGUGGUCCUCCUUGCUUCUGGAGGGACUUGGUUCCCUUUAGAAAACCUGCCCUGGGAAAAGACUUCUUGGUUUUGAGGAAGAUCCUUGGUUAGCGAUGAUCUUGGAGGUGGACUAAGUCCAGAGCCAUCCCUGAAGCCAGGUGACUGUCCCAAGGUCUUCCCUCCCGGGAGCCCAACCUUUCGAGUGCAGCCAAACCUUACUGCUUUUACAACAUUGCACAGCUGUGUAGAAACCCCGUGUUCUUUCCCAUAGGUGCCAAUUUGGGUGGGGGAGGAAGGAACAAUUACAAGAUCCCCAUCUGUCUGCCCAUGCCACCUAAACAAGUCAGGACUCCAAUUGGAUUUUGAAGUUAUUUUAAUUAUAGAAUUAUUUUUUUAGAAGAAAGAUGGAUGUGAUAGUCUAUAUUUGUGUGUUUCUAAAGUUGUGUCUUGUGGGGGAAUUGGAUUCCAUUUUAGUUAUUUAAUACCUCACUCCCACCCACCUGCAUACUGCUUGUGUGUCCCGGCCUGUCCCGCAAGCCUAGUUGUGCUUUUUGUUGUCUGUUCCCCGUGCCCCCUCCUGUGUCUCACUCUGUCUUCUUGUCACUUGAUGUGCAUUUGCUGUUGUUCUUUCGUUUCUGUCUAAAUGUCAGUGUGUUCAAACCCCCAGAGGGUUCUGUUUUUCCCAUUCCCUUCUGGACUUUAAAUAAAUAUUUAAAACUGAGCAAUGG